Long non-coding RNA from Oxyura jamaicensis (ruddy duck), 2365 nucleotides. RefSeq lists it as uncharacterized. Lineage: Eukaryota; Metazoa; Chordata; Aves; Anseriformes; Anatidae. The transcript is spliced from 3 exons. The record is from RefSeq and is a predicted model, not a curated record.
GGGAGAAUAAAGUUUGGGUACUCAGUAGAAAUCACUUAUGAAAAAAAUACCUAGAGCUAGGUCAUUUGAGUCCAUCUCCACUUGAGCAUGGGAUAGAUAUACUCCACAAGGGAUGAUAACUAGAAGUGAUGCAAACGUAAUCUCUUUCUGUUCACCCUUAAAAACAUUUCUGGAAACAAAAUAAAGCAACUCUGAGGAUGAGCAAUAGGUUGCCAGGAGAUGACCACAGGUUUGUACCCGGGGGACACUUCUGAUGGGUCCCAGGUAGUUGGGGACCAAACUGUAGGAAUUUCUACACUAAAAGCUUCUCCGCAGGAAACCUUAACACACAAAUUUCAGACAUGUAAUCCUCACCCUGUGCCUGCAUCACAGGCUGAUGCUCCUGUGCAUCGAGCUUAUCCCUGCUGUCUCUGAGCUCUUAAUCAGGGACUGUCUUCUCCGGGGAGACUGAGAGAAGCUCCAUUUGAUUUGGUUAAGACAAGAAGCAAGUAGACAGUGAGCCUUAGGAAAACCAGAAAUCCCUGGCUGUCCCAGUAGAUAUCUUCCCAAUUGGAAGUGAGGGGCUAGAUCUUCCACAUCUGCUUUUGGGACAUCUGCUCCAAUUUACCCCAGCUCAGCAUCUGUCCCAUAGAUUUACUGCUGGGAGGUGAGGGGAGAAGGGGAAUUCUCUGCUUAGAUCGAAUGUCUCUGCCAAUGGUUGUCUUGGGACUUAGUUAAAUAUCUGGUCCCACUAAAGAACAGAACAGCGCUCUACGGAAAAGAGGGGACAUUUAGGAAGGUGAAGAGGAAUAUCCUUAGGGUCUCUGGGAAGAGCACCUGCCUGCGACACAGGCUGAGGUGCUCUCAAUACUCACCAGGCACAGCAGGGUUGGAAGAAGGGAGUGAGGAGGAAGAUGCCCAGAUAAGUGUCCAUGUGAAACAUAAAAUCCAAAUAAAGAGGGAGAAAGGACAUCCUAAAAAAAUAAAAAUAAAAAUUGGGUACCACCACCAGGGAAAAGAAAAAGAAAUGAAAAAAAAAAAAAAAAAAAGAAAUGCAACAAAAUUAGGGAAGGGAUGGAGUUAUUUUCCACCCGGCGCUCCUGGUGUGAUGAAGAGGCGCAUGCCCCCUGAAUCCCAACUUCUGUGAAGGGUAACCAAUCCUAAAGUAAGAGCUAAAGGGGGUUGGUGAAAUGGAGCCGCAGAACUUCCUAAGAAGAGAUUAUCUACUUAAUUAAAGAUUUUUUUUUCCCUAAGUCCUUCAGCCAAUCAGGACUCAAGUGCCAGAGAGAGAUUGAACUGAUGAAAAGAACACCCCAGGUUCCUCGAAGACAAAUGCACCACGAAAGGGAUAAGAGGGAGGGAAAAGGGGGGGAAAAGGAGAGAGAGAGAAAGAAAAAUAGAGAGAGAGAGAGGGAGAAAGAAAGAGACAGCAAAUCCCUUAAAGCAAUCACUAGACUCAAUCUCCACGGCUGCUGCCCUGCCUCUCCAACCCCCGCUAAGGCGGUGGGAAGGGCUGCUCGCCGUGCCCACACCUCCUCCUGCCACGGAGGCACCACCAGCAGCGGGGUGCUCUGGUCUGGGGGCUUGGGGCUGGCCCGCCUGGGCCCCAUCUUUGGUGGUGUCAGGGAGAAGGCUGGGGACAGCAAUAUGCAAGUAUUGUCCCUGCCUCGGUCUCCCCCAGAAACUUAAGGGGGAUCAGUGCCAGUUUAGGACUACACCUGCUCCUACCUCAUCACAGAGACCUGCCCUUUCUUCCCACCUCCUGUUUGAAGUACUGCAUCUCUGCUCUGGAAGAAAGGCCUCUGGCUAAACCUUCCCUCACACCCUCAAUUUCUGCGUUCAGGGUGUUCUGUGAAGUCCAUGCAAGGGUAUCUUGGGUUUGGGAGGGUCAGUGGUCACUCAGUGAGCUGUUAUCUCAAGCCAAAGACAUCUAGCCCAUCCAAGCUUCUGGAGCCACAAGCAUUUAAAAAAAUAAGAUGUUAUUUAUGCUAAGAGCUUGAAAAUGUAUAUAGUGGAGGCAAAAGCUCUAGAAACUGAAAGGGUUUUCUCAUUCCGUGGGUCCAGCAGCAACAGCAUUUUGAAACUGGGCAAAACUUCAUACGCAUCUUGACCAACUGGAAAGGAAGGAUGCACACCAGCUCUGCUGGGCCAUAUCAAACUAAGAUUGUGCCACUACAGACAGUAUUGACACACCUGAGUACGCAAACGGCUGCAUGACCCCUUCACUGUAAGCUUGGCUUUGUAACCUUCAUGCUCUCUAUCGCUGUUCCCUGCAUGGUUGACGCACACUGAGGAGGCUCCCAUGAGGUCUGCUUGUGCUUUACCAAUAUUAAAUCUGGCCUCAUAUUUGCAGGUUCUCCCUUCAGUUCAUGCAGGGACAGUUCAA